RNAcentral lists this ribosomal RNA (166 nucleotides) under Puccinia hordei. RNAcentral's name for it is "partial 28S large subunit ribosomal RNA". It matches the Rfam family "Eukaryotic large subunit ribosomal RNA", at positions 1 to 162 of the family's 3401-position model. The record is from RNAcentral. Lineage: Eukaryota; Fungi; Basidiomycota; Pucciniomycetes; Pucciniales; Pucciniaceae.
AAGACCUCAAAUCAGGUGGGACUACCCGCGUGAACUUAAAGCCAUAUCAAUAAGCGGAGGAAAAGAAACUAACAAGGAUUCCCCUAGUAACGGCGAGUGAAGAGGGAAAAGCCCAAAUUUGUAAUCUGGCUCUUUCAGAGUCCGAGUUGUAAUUUUGAGAGGCAGU